GACGAACGCUGGCGGCGUGCUUAACACAUGCAAGUCGAACGGUGAAGCGCUUUCCUUUUUGGUUGGUGUGGAUGAGUGGCGAACGGGUGAGUAACACGUGAGUAACCUGCCCCCUUCUUCUGGAUAACCGCAUGAAAGUGUGGCUAAUACGGGAUAUUCUGCGCCUGCUGCAUGGUGGGUGUGGGAAAGAUCGUGCCUUUGGGUGUUUUCGGUGGGGGAUGGGCUCGCGGCCUAUCAGCUUGUUGGUGGGGUGAUGGCCUACCAAGGCGGUGACGGGUAGCCGGCCUGAGAGGGUGGACGGUCACACUGGGACUGAGACACGGCCCAGACUCCUACGGGAGGCAGCAGUGGGGAAUAUUGCACAAUGGGCGCAAGCCUGAUGCAGCGACGCCGCGUGAGGGAUGGAGGCCUUCGGGUUGUGAACCUCUUUCGCCAGUGAAGCAGGCCUGCUCCUUGUGGGUGGGUUGACGGUAGCUGGAGAAGAAGCGCCGGCUAACUACGUG
Molecule: ribosomal RNA, 503 nt
Filed under: uncultured bacterium
Lineage: Bacteria
Description: partial 16S ribosomal RNA
Rfam family: Bacterial small subunit ribosomal RNA
Source: RNAcentral